Long non-coding RNA from Canis lupus familiaris (dog), 1314 nucleotides. RefSeq lists it as uncharacterized. The record is from RefSeq and is a predicted model, not a curated record. Lineage: Eukaryota; Metazoa; Chordata; Mammalia; Carnivora; Canidae. The transcript is spliced from 2 exons.
CCCGCCCCCUCCGCGGGGCGCCCGAGCGCCUCUUGGGCCUGAGCCUUCCGCGCCCAGCCCUUUCCCUCUGCCCCUUCCCACACCCCGACCCACCCCAGGCCUCGCCUGGAAGCAGAGAAUUUCAGGAAUCUCAGAAACCUCAGAACACAGACAGCUCUACGGAGCGCCUACUGCGCGCCGAGCUCUGCGCAAGGCCCCGCGGGGACUUGGAGGCCCUGGCGACAGUGCAGAUGGAGCCUGUGAGUGAGGGUGAAUGAGAAAGAGAAAGCAAACGAGAGAGUUUGCUCCCCUGAAAUCCUGGCCAGCGGUCAUGGCUUUGGCUGCGGAAUUUCUCUGAGGGAGAGUGAUGGAAAGCCCAGAGAUUACCGAGCAUCUGAGAGGAGUCAGACAUGGACAUCGUGCCACACUUUGCACCGUGGAAAACGGCAGAGAAAUCUAUAAGCUUGGCUUUCGGAGAAUAGGUCCCGGAGGUGGGAUAAAGUGGCUCCGUGCACCUGCAGCUCAGCUGGGUGCCUCCGGGGGAAUCGCGCCACCUCAAGCAAGACAAGACCCACUUGCCAGGAGUCUGGGGGCAGAGAGCUGGGGAAGGAGCCCGCCUGGGUAUGUCUCUUUGCCUUGACAGGUUCUCUGGGGAAGUCAGCUUUUAUGAAGCCUGAAGAACGAUUUGUAAUCGGCCCAUCAGAUAUUCAGAAACACUUUUUCACCUAGAAUCUCACUUGCUGGGAGUCUGUGGCCUGUAGUGGCUAUGGAUUCUCCGUCAGCAUCUGCAGUCCUCUACCCCAUGUCCGAGGCAGCCUGGAUCUCCCAGUGGGCAAAUCCCACCUCUCAAUGGGUCCAGGCCCACCGCAUCCUUGGGAGGCAUCUGGGUCUCACGGUCCUGAGCUGCUGUCUUCUGGGACGACCGGGAAUCGGGCCCACUGGCCUGGGUCUUCUGCUAACAGGGCAGCUUCCAGCCCAAGCCUAACAGUUGCCAAUCCUGGGAGCUCUACCAGACACCCUCCUCCUCCUCCUGUCUCUGCUCUCUCCAGCUCCAUCCUGUGUCCCAUUCCCCCCCCACCCCCACCCAAGGCUUGGACCUUAUUCUUGAACUUUGAGUGCCCUUGGGCUGCUUCUUCACUCCAUUUGCUCAGGAUGUGCAGAAUCACUGAAGAGAAUUCAUGUUGGGUGUAGGGGAAUAGGCGAAGGGAAUUAAGAGUACACUUGUCUGGGUGAGCACUGAGUAAUAUAUGAAAGUGUUGAACUGCUACAUUGUACACCUGAAACAACUAUACCACUGUCUGUUACCUACACUGGAAUUAAAAAAAAAAAUUCACA